GGCGGAGCUACAGUGCGGCUGCGCGCCGUCUGUUUCCUGCACGGUUGACUUCAAUAACCGUCAUGCAACGCGCACUGCUGUUCGUGAAUUCGCUUAUUAGUUCACGGGUCAUUCAAAUGAAGGCAAGGUAUUUUAGUACUACUUGAGAAUGUGACGUUUUAACUUAAUAGAUCGUCUACAUGAGACUCCUACCACCUUGAGAUGAACUCCAUAUCCCGUCAUACAGUGCUGUCUUCCGGGUUGUCCGACCCAAUCAGAACGCCCGAAAACAGGAUUUAAAACUGGCCCCGCCCCUCUAUCGCUCUCUUUACCAUGGUGGCUCACAAGGCUGAGGACCCUGCUGGUGGUGGUAAAGUGCCGCAGUUCGUGGCGAAGACGCCUGCCGCUGCCGUGGUUCGUCCUCCGGGUUGAGGGACGAAUCCGAGGAACCGAGGACGGAGGACCCCAAUGGUACCGGCCCUCGGCGAUGCGCAGCCUGGAACUUUCUUACCGUGCUCCCGUGUCGGAAAACUGACUGCUGUCAGUGUCUCUCUGCCCUCAAGAUGACAGCGGCGCUCCCUAGUGUCAGAAUCAGAACGAGCUUUAUUGCCAAGAUUUUCCCGAAUCUAGUCGGAGUCGUGUCUGCAGAAAUGGACAUGCUUCUCCACCUCUGCCUGCAUUCUGUAAUCAGGACCUGA
RNAcentral lists this long non-coding RNA (677 nucleotides) under Scleropages formosus (Asian bonytongue). RNAcentral describes it as "lncRNA (ENSSFOG00015031808.1)". The record is from RNAcentral. Lineage: Eukaryota; Metazoa; Chordata; Actinopteri; Osteoglossiformes; Osteoglossidae.